AUUGCGAGGAGGGCAUCUGUAUUGCUAAAUUAAAGUUUCGACGGUAUAUGAUUGGUGUGUCGUUUGAUUAGCUUGUUGGUAGGGUAACGGCCUACCAAGGCGACGAUCAAUAGCUGGCGUGAGAGCGCGACCAGCCACACUGGAACUGAGACACGGUCCAGACUCCUACGGGAGGCAGCAGUAGGGAAUAUUGGACAAUGGGCGAAAGCCUGAUCCAGCCAUGCCGCGUGAUAGAUGAAGGCCCUCUGGGUUGUAAAUAUCUUUUAUCUGGGAAGAAACUCCUCUAUUCUUAGAGGCCUGACGGUACCAGAGGAAUAAGCACCGGCUAACUCCGUG
RNAcentral lists this ribosomal RNA (336 nucleotides) under uncultured bacterium. Its description in RNAcentral is "bacterial SSU rRNA". It matches the Rfam family "Bacterial small subunit ribosomal RNA", at positions 173 to 507 of the family's 1533-position model. The record is from RNAcentral.